RNAcentral lists this ribosomal RNA (515 nucleotides) under uncultured bacterium. RNAcentral's name for it is "partial 16S ribosomal RNA". It matches the Rfam family "Bacterial small subunit ribosomal RNA", at positions 28 to 523 of the family's 1533-position model. The record is from RNAcentral.
GAUGAACGCUGGCGGCGUGCCUAAUACAUGCAAGUCGAGCGAAUGGAUUGAGAGCUUGCUCUUAUGAAGUUAGCGGCGGACGGGUGAGUAACACGUGGGUAACCUGCCCAUAAGACUGGGAUAACUCCGGGAAACCGGGGCUAAUACCGGAUAACAUUUUGAAACGCAUGGUUCGAAAUUGAAAGGCGGCUUCGGCUGUAACUUAUGGAUGGACCCGGGUCGCAUUAGCUAGUUGGUGAGGUAACGGCUCACCAAGGCAACGAUGCGUAGCCGACCUGAGAGGGUGAUCGGCCACACUGGGACUGAGACACGGCCCAGACUCCUACGGGAGGCAGCAGUAGGGAAUCUUCCGCAAUGGACGAAAGUCUGACGGAGCAACGCCGCGUGAGUGAUGAAGGCUUUCGGGUCGUAAAACUCUGUUGUUAGGGAAGAACAAGUGCUAGUUGAAUAAGCUGGCACCUUGACGGUACCUAACCAGAAAGCCACGGCUAACUACGUGCCAGCCGCCGCGGUAA